Molecule: ribosomal RNA, 231 nt
Filed under: uncultured bacterium
Lineage: Bacteria
Description: partial 16S ribosomal RNA
Rfam family: Bacterial small subunit ribosomal RNA
Source: RNAcentral
AGUAAUACAUAAGUAACCUGCCCUAGACAGGGGGAUAACUAUUGGAAACGAUAGCUAAGACCGCAUAGGUACGGACACUGCAUGGUGACCGUAUUAAAAGUGCCUCAAAGCACUGGUAGAGGAUGGACUUAUGGCGCAUUAGCUGGUUGCGGGGUAACGGCCCACCAAGGCGACGAUGCGUAGCCGACCUGAGAGGGUGACCGGCCACACUGGGACUGAGACACGGCCCAG